GUUACAGAGAAAAAUGGCCCCCAGGGCAGUGUCAACGUCUUUCCAUGGAAAUCUGGCUCACCCAAUAAGAGAAAAGAGGCCAAGGAAAGAAAGACUAAACCAAGAGAGAUGGCAGGCAGUGAUGUCUGGACUAUUUGAAUGGGACUUCUCCAUUUACCGCCCCUCUCACUUCCUUCUAUGGUCUGGACCUUUAAUCACCACAGCAGUCAGCCAUGUAGGGUCAAGCUAAUCGCUGUUGACAUCAUCCUACUACUUCCCUUUUCAAAUUCCAGUGAAGCUAUGUGUUUCCUGUCCUAUUCCACACCCUAGAGAAUGAAUACGGGCCAGCUAGUAUCUAAAUUUAGAAUGGCAGCAACGUGUCGGGUUUUCGGAGUAGAGAUAAACAAAACCAGGUGACAUUUCCAAGCCUCUCAAGGAAAGAGGGGAAAAAAAAAACCUUUCUGGGGUAAGUAAAUAAGGAGAGCUUCAAUAGUUCCACGGUAGAGAGAGGCCUGCUGGCAGGUUCAAAAAAUAGGCCGGCUGGAACCUUCUCCUUUAAGCCAGGAGGGCGGCUUUGGGAGGCGUCUCGAAAUACAUUCUUGACUCUGCAAGGAAAGCUCAGGGAGCCAGAGGCCUAAUACCCCCGACUUCAGGGGAAGCUGUGACGGCAGCUGCACCUCCUUUGUCAAGCUGUUGGUUUCAACCACAGACACGAGGAGACACUUGAGUUGGGGGUAAGUGGAGAAGCCUGCCGCCCCGCCCCCAGCACGCCGCUCUCGCCAUUCCUCUCCCGCCCCGCCCCCUGUCUGUGACCCCCGCGGGCCAAGCCUCAGGCGACCUGUUGGCAGGGAGAGUCACGUGACGCGCCGGCUGCGCACUCCUCUCGGGCGGGCCUCCUGUUGCGCCCGCCUGGCGAGUUCCAUCACGUAACGCGCGGGCGCCGCCCCGCUCUUCCCUCGUUGAGCGAGGGAGGGCGGGCGUCGAAGAGGAAAGGGAAGGGGAAAGGGGCGGGAGAAGGGAGGAGGGGCGGUGUCCAAGUCACGUGACCCGGGGGCAGCCCGGAAAGCUCCGAGGAGGAGCCUGGCGCCGCCAUUUUCCUGCAGCUGCCUGUCCCUCUUACCCUGCCCGGCUCCAGCUGACCAGGGAAGGGGUGGGCUGAACUGAGGCGGGGGCAAGGGAGUGCCCGACAUCUUGUCCGACUCCGCGGGUGAUACAAGCCGGUUCUCUCUGGCCUGGGUGGCAGCGCGCGG
RNAcentral lists this long non-coding RNA (1229 nucleotides) under Piliocolobus tephrosceles (Ugandan red Colobus). RNAcentral's name for it is "lncRNA (ENSPTEG00000031489.1)". Lineage: Eukaryota; Metazoa; Chordata; Mammalia; Primates; Cercopithecidae. The record is from RNAcentral.